CCUGGGGCGGGGGUGCUAUACAUGCAAGUCGAACGAACUCUGGUAUUGAUUGGUGCUUGCAUCAUGAUUUACAUUUGAGUGAGUGGCGAACUGGUGAGUAACACGUGGGAAACCUGCCCAGAAGCGGGGGAUAACACCUGGAAACAGAUGCUAAUACCGCAUAACAACUUGGACCGCAUGGUCCGAGUUUGAAAGAUGGCUUCGGCUAUCACUUUUGGAUGGUCCCGCGGCGUAUUAGCUAGAUGGUGGGGUAACGGCUCACCAUGGCAAUGAUACGUAGCCGACCUGAGAGGGUAAUCGGCCACAUUGGGACUGAGACACGGCCCAAACUCCUACGGGAGGCAGCAGUAGGGAAUCUUCCACAAUGGACGAAAGUCUGAUGGAGCAACGCCGCGUGAGUGAAGAAGGGUUUCGGCUCGUAAAACUCUGUUGUUAAAGAAGAACAUAUCUGAGAGUAACUGUUCAGGUAUUGACGGUAUUUAACCAGAAAGCCACGGCUAACUACGUGCCAGCAGCCGCGGUAAUACGUAGGUGGCAAGCGUUGUCCGGAUUUAUUGGGCGUAAAGCGAGCGCAGGCGGUUUUUUAAGUCUGAUGUGAAAGCCUUCGGCUCAACCGAAGAAGUGCAUCGGAAACUGGGAAACUUGAGUGCAGAAGAGGACAGUGGAACUCCAUGUGUAGCGGUGAAAUGCGUAGAUAUAUGGAAGAACACCAGUGGCGAAGGCGGCUGUCUGGUCUGUAACUGACGCUGAGGCUCGAAAGUAUGGGUAGCAAACAGGAUUAGAUACCCUGGUAGUCCAUACCGUAAACGAUGAAUGCUAAGUGUUGGAGGGUUUCCGCCCUUCAGUGCUGCAGCUAACGCAUUAAGCAUUCCGCCUGGGGAGUACGGCCGCAAGGCUGAAACUCAAAGGAAUUGACGGGGGCCCGCACAAGCGGUGGAGCAUGUGGUUUAAUUCGAAGCUACGCGAAGAACCUUACCAGGUCUUGACAUACUAUGCAAAUCUAAGAGAUUAGACGUUCCCUUCGGGGACAUGGAUACAGGUGGUGCAUGGUUGUCGUCAGCUCGUGUCGUGAGAUGUUGGGUUAAGUCCCGCAACGAGCGCAACCCUUAUUAUCAGUUGCCAGCAUUAAGUUGGGCACUCUGGUGAGACUGCCGGUGACAAACCGGAGGAAGGUGGGGAUGACGUCAAAUCAUCAUGCCCCUUAUGACCUGGGCUACACACGUGCUACAAUGGAUGGUACAACGAGUUGCGAACUCGCGAGAGUAAGCUAAUCUCUUAAAGCCAUUCUCAGUUCGGAUUGUAGGCUGCAACUCGCCUACAUGAAGUCGGAAUCGCUAGUAAUCGCGGAUCAGCAUGCCGCGGUGAAUACGUUCCCGGGCCUUGUACACACCGCCCGUCACACCAUGAGAGUUUGUAACACCCAAAGUCGGUGGGGUAACCUUUUAGGAACCAGCCGCCUAAGGUGACAAGAGUUUG
RNAcentral lists this ribosomal RNA (1476 nucleotides) under Lactiplantibacillus plantarum. Its description in RNAcentral is "bacterial SSU rRNA". It matches the Rfam family "Bacterial small subunit ribosomal RNA". The record is from RNAcentral. Lineage: Bacteria; Bacillati; Bacillota; Bacilli; Lactobacillales; Lactobacillaceae.